This 562-nucleotide long non-coding RNA is filed under the name Cricetulus griseus (Chinese hamster). Its description in RNAcentral is "lncRNA (ENSCGRG00015029901.1)". Lineage: Eukaryota; Metazoa; Chordata; Mammalia; Rodentia; Cricetidae. The record is from RNAcentral.
CAACACAUGAGUGGGCUGCUUCAUCCACAGGCCCUAGCUGGUUAAUCUGACGAAAAGUCAGUUCUGCCUGAGUCAGUGGACUGCAACACCAGCACUUUCAUCUGCCCUGAGCUCCAUUUCUCCUUCAGCGCCUCUAGGAUUUCUGAGUCACCACAUUCCUUUCUUCUACAUUCUAUUACUGAGUUUCCUACACAAACCAUUAGCUGAGCUCCCUGCCGCCUGUCUCUCCAGAUCUUAUGUUCUUGGAAGUUUAAGUAAUCAUUUCUCAGAGAUGCUAUAAGAAGGUACCAGAAAUUGUGUAGCUUGAACAACAGAAAUCAAUGAUCUCAGAAUUCUGGAGGCUGGAAGCUCAAGGAUUUGGUGUCACCAGAGCUGACUCCCUCUGAAGGCUGUGAGAAUCUGUUCCCCACUUGUCGUCUACCUUCUGGAUUGCUUCUUAUCUUUGGUGUUCUUUGACUUGUAGGGGCAUCAUUCUGAUUGCCUUCAGUGUCACAGGCAUCCAUCCCUGUCCCCAUGACACCAAUAUUGCAUCCUUUUUAAUAAAGACAUCAGUAAUAGUGGG